AAUUUUGCUCCCAAGCCAGAGCCCGAUCACCAUGACAACUGGACAGAAGUUGAUGAGAGCUAUUAGAGUUUUUUAAUUCGGUGGACCAGAAGUGCUGAAACUCCACUCGGAUGUUGCAGUACUGAGUCCAAAAGGCUUUCAGGUUCUAAUCAAGGUCCACGCCUGUGGUGUCAACCCCAUGGAGACAAACAUUCGCUCUGGAACUUACAGUAGAAAACCACUCUUGCACUGCACUCCUGGCUCAGAUGUGGCUGGGGUAAUAGAAGUUGUUGGAGAUAAUGUAUCUGCUUUCAAGAAAGGUGACAGAGUUUUCACGACCAGCACGAUCUCGGGGGGAUACACAGAGUAUGCGCUUGCUGCAGAUCACACUGUCUACAAACUGCCUGAAAAACUGAACUUCAGACAAAGAGCUGCCAUCGGAAUCCUGUAUUUUACCACUUAUCAAGCUCUGAUCCACACUGCCCGUGCAAAAGCUGGAGAGAUUGUUCUGGCUCAUGGGGCUAGUGGAGGAGUUGGAAUAGCAGCAUGCCAAAUCGCAUGAGUUUAUGGCUUAAAGGUUUGGGGCACAGCUGGUACCGAGGAGAGACAAAAAAUUGUUCUACAAAAUGGAGCCCAUGAAGUGUUUAAUCACAGAGAAGUUAAUUACAUUGAUAAAAUUAAGAAAUCUGUCAGUGAGAAAGGAAUUGAUGUGAUUAUGGAAAUGUUGGCUAAUGUAAAUCUUAGCAAGGAUUUGAAUCUUCUGUCUUACGGAGGACGAGUAAUGGUUGUUGGCAACAGGGGAACGAUUGAAAUAAACCCACGGGACACGAUGGCAAAGGAGUCUAGUAUCAUAGGAGUCUCUCUCUUUUCCUCAACCAAGGAGGAAUUUCAGCAAUUUGCAGCUGCUCUUCAAGCUGGAAUGGAAGUUGGUUGGUUGAAACCUGUAAUAGGCCCUCAGUAUCCAUUGGAGAAGGUGGCCCAAGCUCAUGAAAGUAUCAUUGAGGGCAGUGGGGCCACUGGGAAAAUGAUUCUUGUCUUAUGAUGAUCAGUUCUUUCGUGGAUUUCCUGUGUAAUUAGAGGUUAUCUUCUCCCCUAGUUUUACUUACACUCUUAUUUCUUUAGUUAACAUUCCUUUGAUUCAGUGAGUUUCUUAUGUGAAAAAACAAGAUUUUUCUUUAGCGAGCAGAGGCAGUGGAAUAAAG
Nycticebus coucang (slow loris) is the source of this 1181-nucleotide RNA transcript. It is a transcript of the gene named quinone oxidoreductase-like, with no coding region annotated. The record is from RefSeq and is a predicted model, not a curated record. The transcript has a single exon. Lineage: Eukaryota; Metazoa; Chordata; Mammalia; Primates; Lorisidae.